AAACUACAAGGAUUCCCCUAGUAACGGCGAGUGAAGAGGGAAGAGCUCAAAUUUGAAAGCUGGUACCUCCGGUAUCCGCGUUGUAACCUCGAGACGCGUUUUCCGUGCGGCGCUAUGGACAAGUUCCUUGGAACAGGACAUCGUAGAGGGUGAAAAUCCCGUACUUGCCAUGGAUGUACCGUGCUUUGCGAUACGUGCUCUAAGAGUCGAGUUGUUUGGGAUUGCAGCUCAAAAUGGGUGGUAGACUCCAUCUAAAGCUAAAUAUCGGGGAGAGACCGAUAGCGAACAAGUACCGUGAGGGAAAGAUGAAAAGCACUUUGGAAAGAGAGUUAAAAGUACGUGAAAUUGUCGAAAGGGAAGCGCUUGAAGUCAGCCAUGCCGCUCAGGACUCAGCCUGGCUUUUGCUUGGUGUAUUUCCUGGGUAGCAAGUCAGCAUUGGUUUGGAUCGUCGGAGAAGCAUAGUCGGAAUGUGGCGCCCUCGGGCGUGUUAUAGCCUUCUAUUGGAUACGACGAUCUAGACCAAGGAACGCAGCGCGCCUUAUGGCGGGUCUUCGGACACCUUCGCGCUUAGGAUGCUGGCGUAAUGGC
RNAcentral lists this ribosomal RNA (588 nucleotides) under Malassezia furfur. Its description in RNAcentral is "LSU rRNA". It matches the Rfam family "Eukaryotic large subunit ribosomal RNA", at positions 62 to 638 of the family's 3401-position model. Lineage: Eukaryota; Fungi; Basidiomycota; Malasseziomycetes; Malasseziales; Malasseziaceae. The record is from RNAcentral.